Molecule: ribosomal RNA, 459 nt
Filed under: uncultured bacterium
Lineage: Bacteria
Description: partial 16S ribosomal RNA
Rfam family: Bacterial small subunit ribosomal RNA
Source: RNAcentral
CCUACGGGUGGCAGCAGUGAGGAAUAUUGGUCAAUGGGCGGGAGCCUGAACCAGCCAAGCCGCGUGAGGGAAGAAGGUACAGCGUAUCGUAAACCUCUUUUGUCAGGGAACAAAUGCCGGUACGAGUCGCCGGAUGGGGGUACCUUAAGAAAAAGGAUCGGCUAACUUCGUGCCAGCAGCCGCGGUAAUACGGGGUAUUCGAGCGUUAUCCGGGUUUAUUUGGGUUUAAGGGUUCGGAGGCGGCAUUUAAAGGCCGCGGUAAAAUCCCGGGGCUCAACCCUGGCUGGCCGUUGAAACUGGCGGGCUGGAGUGGGCGAGAAGUACGCGGAAUGCGUGGUGUAGCGGUGAAAUGCUUAGAUAUCGCGCAGAACUCCGAUUGCGAAGGCAGCGUACCGGCUCCACACUGACGCUGAGGCACGAAAGCGUGGGUAUCGAACAGGAUUAGAUACCCGAGUAGUC